GCCCCCGUAGCUCAGGGGAUAGAGCGUCGGUUUCCUAAACCGUGCGUCGCAUGUUCGAAUCAUGCCGGGGGCGCCG
This 76-nucleotide transfer RNA is filed under the name Euzebya pacifica. RNAcentral's name for it is "Euzebya sp. DY32-46 tRNA-Arg". It matches the Rfam family "tRNA". Rfam says of the family: Transfer RNA (tRNA) molecules are approximately 80 nucleotides in length. Their secondary structure includes four short double-helical elements and three loops (D, anti-codon, and T loops). The record is from RNAcentral. Lineage: Bacteria; Bacillati; Actinomycetota; Nitriliruptoria; Euzebyales; Euzebyaceae.